This 791-nucleotide long non-coding RNA is filed under the name Homo sapiens (human). Its description in RNAcentral is "non-protein coding LINC01592:8". The record is from RNAcentral. Lineage: Eukaryota; Metazoa; Chordata; Mammalia; Primates; Hominidae.
UGAGGACACAGCAAGAAAGUGGUCAUCUGCAAGCGCAAAAGACAGGCCUCAGAAGAACCCAACCCUAUUGACACUAUGAUCUUGGACAUCCAGCCUCCAGAACUGAGCCAAAAUAAUGCAGCUUCACAUCUCCUUAAUGGACAGAAGACUACACUGUUUUUGCUGCACCCAGAGAUAAAAUUAUUGGUUUUGGAGUACCUUCACUGAUGCCAGGGGUGUCAUCUUUACCUUCCAUCACAUAAUAUAUAUAAAGAGAAUUUUUCUUAGCUUUAAAUGAGUUGAUAAGAGGACAAGAAGAAAGUCAAGGACUCCAUUUCCAGGAUUAAAAGCGGUUUUUUCCUUUGUCUUCCAAAUCCUAGCAGUAGAAGCAUUUGAGUUCUGCAGAAAUUACUGAAGUGGUUCAAGUGUGGGCAGUCAGGACACUCAGCCCACCAUACUCAACCCCAACUCAACCUCAACUCUCAGUACGGCAGAGAGACGGAGAACUCAGAGCUAUAACUUUCAGGAAUUCUCAAAACCUCAGACAAAAUGCAUCUUUGUUUUACCACCUGUUAAAGUAUAUCCUCAUCUGCCUCAGUGCACAUAAGUAUACAACACUGCAGAUUGUGUUUAACUUCAUUUGCAAUUAAUUUAACGCAUUUUGUAUCCAACAUUUCUACUAGGAAAUAGUAUUAGUCUAUCCCCAAACUAAAAUUCACUGCAAAAAUGUAAUUCACUCAAGAAAAAUAAUGAUAAUUCUUCAAACACCUUGAGAUGUCAUUCAACAAUCAUACCCAAUGGGUAAAAUUUAG